RNAcentral lists this long non-coding RNA (5341 nucleotides) under Sus scrofa (pig). RNAcentral's name for it is "lncRNA (ENSSSCG00000060879.1)". Lineage: Eukaryota; Metazoa; Chordata; Mammalia; Artiodactyla; Suidae. The record is from RNAcentral.
AAAUGGAUAAAUUGAGACAAUGCCACUUUAAGAUAGUACUUUUGAACAAAGAGUAAGUUUUACUUGCCCUGAAAAAAAGACAAAAGAGGAAAAAAAAAAUCACUCUGUGCUCAGCUAAUAGUAUUUGUGUAUACUUGGUCUUAUAUCAAAAGGAACCUGAAUGUUCAAGGGUUUAAUGUUAACUCCAGCCAAAUGUCCUUUGAAGUUGCCCUGCUGUGACUAGGUGAUACGGAGGUCACAUACCGUUUUAGCUGCAAUAGCAAAGCUCGGUGGGAAGUACAGAAUGAAAUUUCUUCCCACUUAUCUCUAGAUCCUCAAUCUAGGUUUCUGAGAAACCAUACUCAGGCAGCAAAUAUAGCUUAAUAAUGACUUUUCAGAAUCCACACAUGAAGGUUAAGGCGGGGAAAAAAAAGCAGCACAUUGACAUUUGCCAUUUUACAGAAUAGAGGUGCAUCCCAAGCGUUUAUACAAGGAGUGUACCUUGCCUAAUAUACCAGUGAUGCUCCAGAGGCCACAGUAGAUGCCUAUAGGAUGGUUUAAUAUCCGGUCCACAACUGAUUGUACUCUCCAGUUAAAGCCACAUACAAGGAUUGCCCAAGGCAAAGAGAUGUAAACACUGGAAAUUCACCAUUUCAAUUACAAUGCCUUUAUUUUCUUUUCUACUCUAUAGAGCUGACUUUUAUAAAAGCUGAAACAUUCACAAACUGGAAACUUGAAAUUCGUCAUAGAAAAGUAUUUUUCUACAAUGCCAAAUACCAAGAUAUCGUCCAGACAUGAAUGGUUACUAGUGUUCUAUCUGUACCAUACACUGUAUUAGAAACUAAAAAAUGGAUGUGAAAGAAAUAAGAGGACUUUUCUCUAACGGUGAUAUUUACUGGAAGUAUAUAUGUAGCAAGGAGGGAAAUACAGAGUAUUUUACCUUGACUUCAGAUACGCAGUUUCCAUUCACUUUUCAUUUUAAGUUUCAUAUAAUUGAUAUCUAAAAAGUCUGGGCUCCAUCAAAUGUAUCCAUACUUUGAAGACUCCUAUGACAUUUAAACAAUUGAUUUACAAGUUUAAAACAAUUUAAACUAAAAUUCAGCCACUGUAUGUCUUAAAUGUAUAGGAACAGAGUAUAUUUUUUCAUAACCUAAAAUUCCUUAUAUAUGGCAAGGGAGAAAUUCAUUUAAAGAUAUCAUGAACCAGACCUCAAAUAUCUUUAUUAUUAAGAAUGAGAGAUAACAUCAAGUGGAUGCACUUAAGCAAUUCAAUCCUUAGUUUCAUAUGCCAUUCUUAUACAGAGUGUCAUUUUUAAAAUGAUUCCAAAAUUCAAAAUUAUCUGUUUAGUUUCUAACACUGUAUUAUCAUUCUGCUUGAGCCCAAAAAAGAAGUUGUAGAAACUUUAUUUUAAAUGUCACGGUAUUGUCUAAUUUUCUUUGAAAGAAUCUUCCUAAAGCACCUGUGAAUAAUUGUGUUAAAUUAUUCAUCGUGGAAGUUAAUUUGACAGUUAAUUAUAAUAAAGGAGAGGGUUUUCUGAACAUAAACCAGGACUCUAAUGCCUAAAGGAUAAACUACACUGACAGAAUUUGUCCUUGACCAUGGCCUUAAUCCCAAAAUUAACAUUUCAUACUUUUAAGAGCUAAAAAAGAAUAAUGAUGUUUUUGACAAUGCAGGGCAUACUUGUGUUUCUCUGGGAGAGAAGCAUGAUGUAGUGAGUUGAAUAUGCUUUGGUCCGAAUUCCCAAUUUCAACUGUCAUCAGCUGUGUGAUUGAAGCAAACUGUUUAACUCUCUGAGAUUCAUAAUUGUUUUCAUCUAUAAAAUGUUGAUUAAAACACGCAAUUUUUCACUUUGUUGUGCCAAUUAAAAGAAACGAACAGCUGCUACAUCUGUCCCUGAAAUAUAGAAGGCACUCAGUAAUUGUUAGCUCCCUUCCUUUCUACCUCUUCCUUCAGAGUGAGGGAAGGGAAUAUUUGUCGUUUCCUCCAGAGAAUUUUUUUAAAAUGCUAUUUUAUGACAUUUAUCCAUUAAUUAUAUUUUUCACAUGCAUCGGCUCUUUCCGUGUUUCCAAUAACCUUAUGCUGGGGCAAAACAGAUCCUUAUUACUUUUUUACAGGUAAAGGAACAGGUUCAGGGAAAUUAAUUAAAUUAACCACAUGCCCAAAACUAGAAAAUGAGAUAAUCAGAUAUAAACACAGGUCCAUCUGAUUUUAAAACAUAUUCUCUACCUCCUAUAUCACUCCCAAGCCAGUGGUUUUAUACACAGUGGUACAAAAAUCUCCUUGACUAAACUGUAGAAAAAGGAGAAAAACUGGUAUAAUCAGGGAGUUUUCCUAAAAGUGGAAAUAUUCACAAUUUUUAAUUCAUGAGAUUAUCCUUUUUAAGGAUAAAAUAUAUUUUAUUUUAAAGCAGUAGUGAGAUGGUAGAGAUUUUUUCUCUUGUCUUUUUCAGCUAAAAUUAGACAAUGUCAUGCCUACAUGUAUCCUUUUUUUAAAAAAAAUUUACUAGACUAUGAAAUGCAGAAGUUGAGAAAUGUUAUACUACAGCAUGGUACUUUAUUACUCUCACUAAUAAUUUAAAAAUAAAAUUGCACUGAAAAAGCAUGAGACUUCCAAAUGAAGCUGGCCCUAGGGAAUGUAAUAUAAUGAUGUGGAUAAACCCUACUUCCAUCAGAUAUAAACACAAAACUCUAAAAAGGGCAUUUAGACUUUUGAGUAGAUUGCAGUGGACGUAGCUUCAGCAGAUCUGUGAAAUCUGAUGGCGUCAAUUGUAACAAGCUUUAUGUUUAUAGGACAGAAAAGACCCCAAGGACAUGACUGACUAUUGUCAAGUAAGGCAGCCCCCAGUGGAAGCACACCUACCAAGGGGCAGCAGUAUUCAUGACGAAUGCUGCAGUGAAGACAGGGUCAGAGUUAUCAGACCACAUUAGGGUUAGCAAGACACUAACACUACACUGCUGUAGGAUUUUCCAGAUUUUUUGCUAUAUGUCAAUUUAUUUUCAAUAGGAUGAAAUUCUCCUUCUUCAUUUAUUCUUGGACACCCUUCUUGAAGUAUCUAGCUGGGAAAAUAAGGAUUAAAGUGCCUGAGAUUUAGUAACUUAGUAUUAACACUUUUGUAUAUAUACUGUCCUUCCUUUUUCCCCAGAAACAAGGCUAGGUUGCCCUGGCACGAUGCUCGUUAAAUACCCUGUGCAUAUCAUUUUCAUUGCACCUCCAUUCUAUGGCACAUUUCCUUCUUUAUCUGGGGAUAUACAUCAGUGGUAUGUGGCACAUGACUGGCACUCAGAAAGUGGGUAGAUUGGGGAAAAAAAAAGGGAAAAAAAGAAAGUGGAUGGGUGGAUGGAUGGAUAGAUGGUGUCUCUAGCACAGGUACAUCUUGAGCAACUUUAGUGGCUUCCUUCUGUAGGUAUGAGCUCCAAUAAUGCAGUCCUUGGGAGUCCCUACAGAGGGCAACACCAACAUAUUUCAACAGAACUUCAGAGUCAUUGAAACACCCUCAGUAUUUGAAGACCCAUAUUCCAAAUUUGGUCAACAUUUAUAAAAUUCAAGAACGCUUAUAGUGACAUAUGAUGUCACUGGUUUAAUAACUAUAUAAUCUUAUAAUAAAAAAACAAAGAUGGAAGAAAUACCUCAUUUGACAUAUCUUUGCGAAUAUUCAGUAUAUUUCCUUGAUGAUGUAAAGAACUAUGUGUGGCCAAUCUUUCAAUAUAUGAUACUAAAUACAUUCACAGGACAAGAUAAAAUGCAUACUAUUAUUCUUAACUUUAAAAGCAAAACUAGAUAGAGCAGGGUAGUUAAAAGCUCAUGUGGAAGUAGAAUCUACUUUCAACAGACUUUUUUUUUUUUCCCCUCAGUUAUAAACAGCAAAUCUCAAAAUGGUUUGGGGGUUCUUUGAAAUAGAGAAGUUAAAAUGACAUAAAAAUUCAGAUUAUAGCUCAAGACAAAGGGAGAUAAAUCAUGCAGUCUAUGCUUUCACGAUUGGAUUUAGCAGAAGCCCUUGGGACAAUGAUAUAAGUUUCAAUAUACCAAAAGACAGACUUUUAAACGUUGAUAACACAAAUAUGUUGAAAGUGUGAAAAAAUUUUCAGCAUCAUUGUUUAAAAUACUGCACCUUUCCCAAUUGAAAAAGACAUGCCAAAAACAUUUUCUAAGAGUUCCCGUCAUGGCACAGUGGAAACGAAUCCCACUAGGGACUGUGAGGUUGCAGGUUCAAUCCGUGGCCUCGCUCACUUUACCCCUGUGAUGUGCUUGCCUAAAACCCAUAAUUCUAAUCUAAUUAUGAGAAAAAUAUCAGAGAAUUCCAAUAGAGGAAUAUCCUAUAAAAUACUUGCUCAAAACUUUCAAGGGCAUCAAAAACAUAGACAAGAAAAGUCAUAGACAAGAAAAGCCUCAGGAGACAUGAUGAGUAAAUAUUGUAUAUUGGUUGGAAUCUUGUAACAGAAAAGGAUAUUGGUUAAAAACUAAAGAAAUAAACUGAAUUAACUAUGGACUUUAAUUACUAAUGUAUCACAAAUAGUUCAUUAAUUGUAACAAAUGUCAGUGGGAGACAUAAGUGAAGAUUAAAUAUAAUCUAUUUGGUAUUCUCCAUUUUUCCAUAAAUCUAAAACCAAAAAUUGUUAAAGCCUAUUGAAUACAAUUAAAACUGGUUAAAAUAAAAAUUUUAUAUUAAGUAUAUUUUACAACAGUAAAAAAAUCCAUUAUAAGAAUAAAUAAAUAAAUGACUCAGAGGCUAGAGCUAGAAUUCUUCUCAAUUGCUAGGGCCACAUGGUAAGGAAUUAUGUUUGGACAAAGUCCCUCUGCCCUCCUUCCCCUUCCAUUUCCACUUGAACACCUUCUGUGGCAGAACCUAAGGAAAAGUUGGCUGUCAAGUGAGUCUGUGAGGAUGGUUUUCAGUUCCAGUCUCCUAAACUUAGAGUUAUUGGGGUAGAGCUAAGAUAUGUUAGAUAAACCACUAGCAUAGCUGGCAGGGAUUGGUCCAGGAACUUAACGGAUGUCAGCAAGGACCACCUUUUGACUUUUCUCACCUCCAAGUUGCCUUCAUUCUUAGGUAAAAAGCUCACAGAGGCUCAAGGUCCACAUUCCAGGUUCAAAAGAGUGCCUCUUUUUGUUUGUUUGUUUGUUCAUGCUUGCAGUAUUCUGGGAUUGGUUUUUCAUUAGACCAGAUUGACUCAAAUCAUGUGACAUGCAUGUCUAAUCAUGUUGCUUUGAGAAAGUUAUGAUUCGAUUGGUCAUGCUAGUUAUGUCUCCAGGUAAAGCCAAUUCCAUCUAAUUUUACUACAUAAAUUGAUAGUGUAUCCAACUCUAUAAGGGAGUAUGCAAAGGCAUUGUGACGAUCGCAAGGGUCCAAAAUAGCUUUAUAAACCAC